Parasteatoda tepidariorum (common house spider) is the source of this 738-nucleotide long non-coding RNA. RefSeq lists it as uncharacterized. The record is from RefSeq and is a predicted model, not a curated record. Lineage: Eukaryota; Metazoa; Arthropoda; Arachnida; Araneae; Theridiidae.
AAAUAAGUUUGAAAUAUAAAUUUAGAGACAUCCGAACAACCCCGGACAAUAUUUGAUAUCAAUAUUGCAAUCGUGUUUUUGUCACGACAUCGAUUUUUUCUCUAAAUACUGAAAUCUACGAUCUAUACCACUCGGAACCGUAACCAUAACCCGUUAAAAUGCUGUUUAUCAUUUACCGCUACACCUGCGAUCUAUUUAUCUUUUGUCUACUUAUAUUUAAAUCUAAAUUCGUCUCAUAAGAUUUAUACCUUAGCUCAUAAUGUAAAUGGAAUGAAAAUUAUUUCGAUUUAGCGAGCCCGAAAACUCAAACCAGCUGAAGAUGAAGGGGAAUUAAUGCACCUUGUUGAAGUGAACGAAUUCUCUGAUCUUGGCAGAUAUGUUAUUUUGAAACCAUCUGUAAAGAAGGCUAUUUAUGUUCUUUUACUUCAGCACCAUCUUGGAAUUGGCGAUGAUGUAUUGUAAAUUAAAAUGAAAAAGGAAACAGUGUUUUGAAAGCCUCUCAGCUGUUACAAACGCCAUCUUAGCUGCUACCUUCAGACUGUUCAAAGAGACUAGCUGCUACCUUCAGACUGUUUAAAGAAACUAGCUGACUAGAAAAAGCUGAAAAAUUUGGUGAAGUUCUUGCCACCGCCAAUGGCCGGGAAGGCAGGAAGACUAAGUUUGCGCCUCAACUGCCACAGUUUUGUUUUAGAAACAAUUGAUUGUAUUAAAGAAUACAAUAAAUUAUAGAAAUUAGUA